Molecule: long non-coding RNA, 912 nt
Organism: Dioscorea cayenensis subsp. rotundata (Guinea yam)
Lineage: Eukaryota; Viridiplantae; Streptophyta; Magnoliopsida; Dioscoreales; Dioscoreaceae
Exons: 6
Source: RefSeq, a predicted model, not a curated record
CUUUCGAUCCGGGUCACAGCUUCGAACAACAAAGAGCUCGAGCUUGCUGGCUAAAAAUAUAUAAAUAAUUUCAAUCCAUUACCUCGGUUGUCGUCGUCGUCAUCUUGGCAGUGUUCGUUCUGGUUCUAUCUAUUGAUGACAAGUGAGGGGCUUGCAAUGCCGUCGUGGGCGAGAUUGAGCUUGGACUUUUGAGAGCUUUGUGUUCGGCUGCCAGAGUAUAUCUAUGCUUCUCCAUCAAUUGGAUGAUUAGCUUGCAAGGAAAUCAAAUUUAAUGGAUGCUAAUCAAGUCCUGUGAUUUUUGUGAGAGCUCUGUUCACCAACCAGACUACAGAGACAUCAAUUGGAAACUUAAUGCAACCAUGUGGCAAUCUGUAUGGUAUUGGUGGAAGUGAUUCUAAGUUUCUCAUUUUUAAAUAUUGAUGUUGGCUGGUUUACCUUGUGACACUUAUGGCAGUAUGCAGCAUCUUUGAUUAGUGGUUCUUUCGAUGAAGCGCGGAUGCUUAAGAAUGUUGAAGCAUGUGAAUGGUUAACAGGCGCAAUUCCUAACCUUGAAGUGCCAAAUCUGAAUCCAUGCUAUGCUAACAUGCGAGCUGUUAAGGAAAAACGUGCUGACUUAGAAAAGUUAAAGGGCACUUUUGUUUGUGGGGCUUCAGGGAUCUUAAGGAAAUAUUUUGGCAGUUUAGUAGAUUUUAUGAUAAGCGACAAGAGUCAUUUUUCACAGUGAGGACAGUUGAAGAGGCCUGAUCAUGCAGAUCUGAGGUACAAAUGUCGGACCUAUGCAUGGCUUAAAUUUUGAUAUUUAAAUCUCAGUUGAUGCGGCAGGAUUUGUGAGUCAGUUAAUUGAUGAUUUGGAGUCCAGAAUUUCAAUGCAGUUUGGCAGGUUUGUUGAAGAAGCUUGCCAUCAGAUAGAGA